AAAGACGUUUUGAAAUUUCAUUAGCACCAUGGCAAGACACAACCAUCACGAUUAUAUCGAUAAAGUUCGAAACCAAUCUGAAAAUGUAUGUACAAGUUGUAAGAUGUUUACCGCGAAUAUAUAUUUGAUGGAAAAUUAGAACGAAUAGCCAUCUAUACGGUAAACGUUAAAGACGGCCCCACUGAAUAUCGAGGUGAGAUAUAUACUCGCAGCAAAUACCUCGUACAUCAUCUACGUACAUUUUCAGAUUCCUUCGAAACUUUACGAGUAUAAUCAAGAUCGCCGGGGUCCCAUUACAAUGUUAAUAUAACACAUACAGUACGUAUAGUACAUACGGAAAAGGUUUGUUAAGUGUGCAAAUAUUUUCGUGAGUCACUGUAUAUGUUCGAGGCAAUUAUUCACAGUAUACGCCAACGUUUUACUGAAAAUGAGCGAGAUAUUUUCAAUAAAUGUCUUGCAACUUCCGUAAACCUUUCUAAAUUCGUUUCCAACUUUACCGCUAUAAUCGCGAUGGACGCGUUUCGUUACGUUACCAAUGGAAUUACAAAACGUUUCCUAUAAUACCGCAUUACGGUUUCUACAAGCGUUCCAAUACCGAGCUACUUCUAUAUUACGUCUGUUUGCAAUAAAUUUCCAUUUAAAAGGAACGAAUAAAUAUGUGUAUAUAUGUUGCACUGGAAUCGCUAAAUCGAAACAGCAGACACACAAAACAAACUCUGUCCCCUGGCAGGUACAAAAAUGUGCGUAGAAUGUCGAACGAAUCGAGACCAAUUAGCGGAAUGGCAAAGAAUGUUAAGCGCCGCGACACCAUUCGUCGCCUCUCUAUUCAUGUGUUCUCCCCGUCCAUGCACUCGCCGCUUUUCGCGCGAUAUUCCCUCUCCCACGUCACCGUUAUUAGCGGCAGCCUGUUUUCUCCCUUUUAACGACUCCCGUCAAUGUCAAUGCCAGAAACGCGUACCGCGAGAUUCUCUCUUCGAGUUUGUUUACGAUCAGGAAGAGAGAGAGAGAGAGAAGUGGACAAAGGAUGAAAAAGAUGGAUGCAUAUGUCACUCUAUUAACAUAAUUAUUGCGAAAACCUUGGAGAUACGUACUAUAUCCUGGCGUAAACUCGACGCAAAUCGAGGCGGUUUGCCGACAGCGAGCGUGUCGUGGGCAUCGAUCGAUGAAUGGUGUUCUCGCGACCAUAGUGGCGCUCGCCUCGAAAACCGUACAUUUUUCACCGGAAACGGUUUAACUCUUUGACGGUGCAAUAAGGCGAUGAAUAAUUCAGAGCGAACGAUUUAGAAGAUAAGUUGUCUUAUUAUUCUUAAGGUCUGCUGCGUUUCUGAUAUCAGAUUUGUUCGACUUAUUAGAAAUAUGAAUUUACUUUAGUGUUGAAGCACGUAAAUUUCAAAUAUUUGUUUCAUUUAACUCGUCGACGGUGUAAUUAAAUUACGAAGAAUGUGAAACGAACAAUUUAGAAAAUAAUUAUGUAACUCGCUAUUCUUAACUCUGCCGCGGUCCUCGAGUUGUUUAUGUCUUAAUCUUACUUUAGCUUCAACCUUAGUUUCGAUCUUGCUUGAAACGAGAUAUCACGCGUAUAAAUAACAGGUCUUUCGUGUUUUGCUCAAAUUUAGGACAAUUUUCUAGCGAUGAACGUACGGUACGCUUGAAAAUGGCUCAAAAGAACCAGCGGCGCGUUAAAACGCGCUUUCCACCGAAAUGGAAAUACCGAUCGUAUAAUAAGCAGAUUGAGCGGAUGGUGAGCUUGCUCCAGAUAUUCUGCAACGAGGUUUAAAGGAAUUCGGCAUUUAUGAAGAGCAACGUGCGAGCAAGCGGAGUCAUCGACGUACGAAACGAGUUCCAAAGGAUUGGAUGAAAUUCAUGGGCGUGUUUUAUGUUCCGAGAUUAAGAGGUGGGGGACAAACGGACGAGAAUUCGAGAACGUUUCGCGUUCGUGGUACAACAGCCUCUUAAUCGAAUAACAGGUGUUCGAAAUGGCCUCACCAGGACUGGUUUACGUCGAUACUUCGUAUCGUCCGAAUCUCGAUGCACGCCAACUCUUGCGCAUCUGUUUGACACGUAAAAAAAAAAAGAGGGGUUAUAAAUAUAGUGUGGCUUCGCGUUCAUUCCCGCUCCUAGGAGAAGUUAAAAGUUGCUCGGCGUAUAAUUCACGCGGUAGCUUUAAGUGGUGAUAUUUUAGAAACAGUACCCGGUAUUUAUUACGUUGCCAUUUUGAAUUUUUCGCCUGAGAUAUGUCUAUAAAUACGUAGGCAUUUAUUUUCGAGUUACCAUAUGAUGAUUACAGGGAGAGGAUGCAAUAAUUACAACUUUGCUAACUUCCUGAUUUUUACGUUACUUAGUGGUGAAAAGAGGGCACUUUAAUAUACCGUGGCUAAAAAGACAUAAUUAAGAGGCGCAACCUACCCGGCCCGAAGAUGUAAGCUCUUUAGCGAUGGAUAUGAAGUUAUAUGAGAGAAAUUAACGGCAUACGAAGAUUCCUUUCCAUUAGUCGCGGUGAUACAGUGCUCUUCAAGGAAUUUUAACAUAUCAUCGUCAUUAAUAUCUGCGUACGAAGUAAAAAAGCAAGGAAAAAAGAAGAAAAACAACUAUAGUAAACAACUUGGUAAGGAGCAGACAGUAAACGACAGGAAGAGACACGCCUACGACAAUUAAAGGCUUAAACGCAUCAUUCUAAUGUGACCAUUAAAACAGUUACACCACCAUCUUCAUUUCUUGUAAUGAUCGUUGAAUCUAAGCGAUUCGAGCAUUGCUUGCGCUAUAAGAGACAAACAAGGGGAAAAACAGAACAUAGAAAAAAAAAACGAGAUAAAAGAUUAGAGAAAACGAGGGAGAGAGAGAGAGAGAGAGAGGAAGGGAAGAAGAAGGCGGAUACAAGCAAAUAAAAUCCGCGUUAAGACAGUAAGCAAACGAACGGCAUUUGCGGUGUAAAUGCGGCUUAAAGAUUGACGCCGCACGAAACAAGCUCGCCCACUCUCAUCGGGCGGAAAACUGCGCUAUCAUCCUUCUACACCACAAUGAUCUUGACAGUGACCGUAGCGAUCAAUGGCGCCGUCAAUUAGGCGAAUCGCGUACUCGGGUUUAUGGCCAACGUAUCGAGGACGCCGAGCCACGCGUUAUCCUGGAAAUUUGACGACUACUAUCAACGUCCAUGUAACAUGGUUCACGCGCUUCUUUCAUUCUACUCUGCGUCUCAGUUCGAAAACUGGAUAUGACCCACUGAGGACUACGCGCAGAAAUAAAACGUAAAUCAAAGUUUCGCCAACAAAACCAAUAGUUUCCUGAGAUUCGUAUGUUUAUUGUAUUCAUAUGCAAAUCGUGACUGUGUUACGUUCUGGGGAAAGGAGAGAUUAAAUUAUGCAAUUCAAAAUAAAUAAUGACUACACCGGCAUUCAAUAACUACGAUACUAUGAGGAGACACGCGAAGGAAUUUCCGGGAGAGAAUAAAAUCAUAGUAAUCUUUAUACACAUGAUAUGACAAGAUCGAUCUAAGGAACAUCUUCUGGUAUUAUAAAACGCUUUUCGAGAACUGGAAUAUUUGUUCACGGAGCAUCGUUCCAGGAGAACGCGUUGCUUUAUAAUAUCGUUGAACUAGCUUGGUUGCCUUCGCGAACGCGAACCCUUUUAUCUCUUUGAAGCUGGUCGGGUUAGAGAGCAGGCCUCGCUUAAUGCAAUAACGUUAAUGCAUCACCAGACAAUUUUUAUUUCGUCCGCACAAAGCACGCUGGCCUUGAAGCGCGGCCGGAAACAAGGUGGAUCGGUGUUAUUGCAAAUCUCUGAGCAGUGAAUCGCGUUAAAGGGAAGAAUGGAGUAAAAAAACAACUAAAGCUCAUCGAUAAUCGUUGAAUAUAGCAGUCUAACAAAUAGGUUUCCAACGUUAAAGGUUUCAUUUGUUGUCGAACGACUCUCGAAUCGAAUUUCUCGCUGAAUUCUAUUAUGGUUACAAGCAGAGUAGAAAAUAAGUAGUUAAAGUAAGUUAAAGUCGAAUCGAACGCGAUAAACGGAAGGGAUGGAGAGGGGGGAGGCGCAAGACCCGUGAGAACCCUCCAGGAAACCGGAAGUGUACGAAAUUAGUCCAAUUUCGUGCGCGACAAGUGGAAAAACGUCGGCCACUGGCAGUGGCGACUCCACUCUCGAGGGCACACGCGUGCCGCAACGGGAAUCCGCUAGGUGACUCGCGUGUGUAUUCGCCGCUUAAACCCCGAUUAGCCUGCUAGAGGGCCUAAUAACGAGUAAUACCCUAGCCGCGUCAUCGAGUUUAAACAGAUUUCGCAACAGCUUGCGACCUCUUAUGCAUAUACGUUCGGACUGACUUGACUGCCUAUUUGGCUGCUGAUUCCUCUUUAAAACCUAAGCAAAUGUUCUAACAUAGACGAAAUUGGUUCACGGUCACCGAGAAUGUGCAAAGUUUAAGGAAGAUCGUUUGAAAUGGACAAACGACUCUAUAUAUAUAUAUAGAUGGCGUAAGGAAGUGGUAAGGAGAACGAACAGCUUGUUUUCUACUCGUCGAUAAAUCUGCGGCUUCUUAUCUGUCAGCAGAAGAUUACAACGAUCGUCCGGCGAUGUUGUAACAACUAACAGCCAAUGAUAUAUUGGACGAACGAACAUUGCUAGACAUUUCUUCAAUGACGAGUGUACCAUGUGAUCUAAACAUACGACGACGCGUUCCUCGAACGUCAUCACUUCGACCCGUGAUCCUCGGACACAUUGGUCGCACAGUGUUGUCAAAUUCAACCUCGAAGAACUUACUCGUUGGUAAAUAUUAUUUACGCGUGUAAGUAGUACGUUCGGUUUAAUAAAACGGAGCUGCUGUACGGGCCGAACUGUUAUUGUUGGCUGCACCGUGGAAGCGAAACUUAUAUCUUCCUCGAUCUAUCCGUCCGCCAAACCAUUCUCGCUCGUAUUAUUAUCUAAACGCGAAUCUUCACCGCCAGCGAAGAAAACAACUCUCGUAGCGUUGCGAACGCUGCCCAUCGCACUUUCCAUCAUUGAGGAGCAUCUACGGGUGAGCACUCGGCGACACCCCGCAGGACGCUUCAGCUGAAAAUCCUCUCAAGCACUGCAAUUGCCGGCAGGAGUUCCCCCCGAGUAUGUAACCGGUCCCAAACACAUUUGCCCGCUUUGGUCUUACGCCACAGACUAUACUCUAUGCAGCACAUAAAUCCCGCAUGAAACCGGGCUUACCAUGGCUACGACCCUAGUGCCAAGGUAUUACGAUUCACCACGUACUACCAGACCGUGCCUACGGUGACACGUAUAUCUUUGAAUUAAUAAAAAUCAUUAGUUUGUUUACCAGACGUAUCAAAGUUAUUGAUGUAGUUAUAGAAUGAAUGGAUAUUGGUUAGGUUCAUGUCGAUUCAUCGCAACUAUAUUAAAUAUAUUUCGAUUCUUGUUUAACCGAAAAUUACUCUUCCGUGUAACAUGUGGCACCGCGUGUGUCGAUACGUAAACGCACGUAUACACACGAUACUUGAGUGAAAAACACGUGCAUAUAGGUUAUGUACGCGGUACGCGAGAAAGAGACGAUGAGAGAAACCGAGCGUAGAAGUAAAGAGACAGGAACAAGUGUAAAGAGAAGGAGAGAAGCAAAGAAGACAGUAAGCUAGUGAACGAGCAACAGAGAAAGAGAGACUAUAAGGACUACUGCCGUUUUAUUGGCAGAGGUGAACGACACUGCCUACUGCAAGGUGGAUGCCUGUAUUUCGCAUAACCGCUCGUCGUUGGAACGUGCUAUGAGUUUAUGGGUCACUACGUACUGUUUUCAAGCACCUUCUUACGAAAAUAGUAUGAAUUCGUUGAAUCGAAAAUAUGUUGACAUCGGAAAGUCGGCAAUGUUUGCCUUUAUUAUGCCUUGUUCAUCUGUGUCUUGUAGUUAAAAAAAACAUUAUUUCUGGAUAAUACAAUAUCAUUAUUACAUCAUCUAAUAUCGAUAUUUCUUGUAAAAAUAAGAAUGGAUAAAAUAAGUGUUCUCGCGUUACAAGCAUGCUCAAGAUGAUAACAAUUACCAAAUAACUGACUUAUAUUAAAACACGCACACGUUGUAUACACCUCUUAAUUUCAAUGCAUACACAUACCCCUAUGGGAUUACCACAUAAACGUGCAGCGACCUUUUUGAAAAUUAAGAAUUCAUUUCACGUACAACUUCUAACUGCAAAAGAUUGUACAGGUUAUGUAAGAGCAAUUCGAAGAACGAACAACAGAGAGGAACGGCCUGAUCAACAAGAGUGGAUUCUGAAUUUAAGAAUAAUCUGAUUUCGUUAACAUUUGCUUAACGACUUAGCAAUCAACAAGAUAAAACAUCAGAGCGAGCAAUAACAAUAUAUGACGUACAGUAACAUGUACAUAACGUGACAGAGAUUUAUAAAAACAGUGUAUGUAAAAAUACAUACAUAUGUACAUAUAUUUAAAUUUUAGUUUUUAAUUCAUAUAGAAUUAUGUGACUGCUUUUUAAACUCAAUAAUGAGCAAUAUUUGCAAUUAAAUUUUUCGGAAAAUCGCCACUAUAAAAUACAAAAUUUAUCUAUCUUUUGCGUUAUGGUCAUCGGCAGUUCUACACGAAAUUUAUAUUGCAGGAAAAUCGGUCGAGUAACGUGAACUGACCUCUGCUUUGCCGCUCCUCAUCGAUUUUCUGAACAUACGUCAAUACGAAGUACGCCAGACACGUAUUCAUGGAAUUAAAUACUACCUUCUUUUUCAAUAGUCGAUAAAUAGAAAUUUCUGUCAGUUUGUAUAGCAGCCAUGUUAAAUAUGUAAGGAAUGAGAAAUAAGAUAUUUUCGGUACAAACGUGCUUAUCUCUAAAUAUUUUGAGGUUAGCUUCGGUAACUUUACGUUAUCUUUAUAUCGAGCAAUCUAAUGUAUAAUAUGCGAAAGCAAUGUAAACUGCGCAUUACUUAAUGCUUUAUCUGACAUUAAAUAUUAAAUAUUAAUAUUGUAUUGUCUUAUGUUCAAUGUAUUUCUACAAAAUUUGUAUCAACUAUGAAGAAUUCAUUUGAUACACUCAUUUAAUUAUUUGAUCGUACAAUUAGUAAAGGAUGUGACAAUUAUAUAAAAAAAGAAUUAAAGAAAAAAUUAAAAUGAAAUGUAUCUCAGAAAUGUAUAUGUUGAAAUCAUUAAUGCAUCACCUGGUAACUUUGUUUAUCACACCAGGGUAUAAUUCCAUUUCAUCUGUAUAUUAUGAUUGCUCAAUAAAAUUACAUAUAUAUUGCCAAUUGUA
Molecule: long non-coding RNA, 7213 nt
Organism: Bombus terrestris (buff-tailed bumblebee)
Lineage: Eukaryota; Metazoa; Arthropoda; Insecta; Hymenoptera; Apidae
Exons: 6
Source: RefSeq, a predicted model, not a curated record